Cebus imitator (Panamanian white-faced capuchin) is the source of this 4324-nucleotide long non-coding RNA. RefSeq lists it as uncharacterized. Lineage: Eukaryota; Metazoa; Chordata; Mammalia; Primates; Cebidae. The record is from RefSeq and is a predicted model, not a curated record. The transcript has 2 exons.
CCUGGUUACCGCUCCAGCUUCCUUCCACAGAAACUUCAAUUCCCAGAGUCAGGGGCGGUAGUUACACAGUGGAGGGUACGGCGGGUAAUUAUUGCAGAAAUUGAAGAUGAGAAUGAGGUUUGCAUUUUUGAAUAGAAGACUGGCUUCUCAGCAUAGAAAGAAUUUUAAAGUAAAUUAUCCUUGAUGCUUGAAGAUAUUUGAACAUGUUUAAAUGCUUCGGUGAAUAGAAAAUUAAAUUCAGAAUUUGAGGUUUUCUAAAAGAGCUGAAAUUUCUUUGUCUUUAGUUACAAAGCUAAAGUCAUUCUCACCAUAAGCCUUUAAAUUUUACUUGAAACACUGUGUCAGAUACAACACUGUUCUGAGUCCCUCUCUGUUUUCCUCAUCUCAAACCUGAAAGAUCUUUCUUAACUGAGCACUAGCAAAAAAGUCUGGAUCUACUUCUGAUCUGUUAGUAGGGCGUCUUUUUUCAGCUGCCUCCAUAUCAGGGCAAAGAGUAGCUGAGGGAGGAUUAGUAAUUGGAUAUGUAGCCCUUCACAUGUAGGUCAUUAAAUUCAGGCUGGCAAAGUGAUGUGCCAAAACUUUCCACAGCUGUUCAGUUGCUCCUAUGGGAUCUGCUUUAUAAAUAAUUAUACAUUUUUUUCAGAGUUAAUACAUGGCAUCCUUAGAUAGUUUAAGCCAAGUUUUAAAGCAAAAAAACAAACAAACAAACAAACAAAAAAAACUUCAUAUUUUAGUGAAGAAGCCAAUACAUUUUCUUUUGUCCUAGACAUUUAACUUUGUAGUCAUUUGGUGCAAAAUCUAAAAUGAUUCUAGUAUCAAUCCAAAGAAGUCAAUUUGAGAAAAAAUUGAAACAUAUAGAAAGUUUAAGAAGAUGAAAUCAUAUGAAACAAUAUUUUCGUUGAUUUGUAAAGUUCAUGUGUUUAUUUAUUUGACACAUUUAUCAAGUUCUAUGCUUUUUGUCUUAGUACUGGUGAUACAGAAAUGACUAAAUCAUGCUCUGUGUCCUCAAGGAAUCCCUAAUCUAAUGGAGGAGCCAGCAGUAAAUAAAUAGCAUAUAACAUGUACUUGAGAUGCUUGUACUUUGAAAGAAGCAACUAAUUGCUCCUUGAGGCAGAGGACGUAGUUUUGGAGAUUGAAUAAUUUUGUUUCAUCUUGGAAAGUAAGUAGGAGUUUUACAGGUGUCUCAAAGUAAAGAAGUUUACGGUAUUGGGAAAAGUGAAAGCAAAGACCUAAGCACAUCAUGGAUUUGCACAUCACUGAAAAGCUGUGGAUAGGAUGAGGCAGAAGGAGGAGACGAUGACCUGGAGGGUUUCUCUAACUUGGAAAACUGUUAGGAAUACUAUAAUAUUAACUGGGUCAUUUAGCGAAUACUGGAGGAAAAAUAGGCUUUGAAAAAAUAGUUUGAUUUUAAAAAUGUGGAUUCUAGGGAGUCGGCAGGACAUCUGAGUAGAAACAGAUUUAAAAAGAAUGAGCGCAUACUAGUAGUUUAAGACAAUUUAAGAGGAUAGACUCAACCAGAUACUACAUGGGGUACAAAUGCAUAAUACCUAUGGGUACUGGAAGGUAGCAAAUGAGAGAAGCAUCUGGAAGGAAAGUAUCACAAAGCUGAUACUUUCCUUUUUAAUCAGGGUACAAGUUCCAAGAGAGAAUAUGGGCCUAAUCACACCAGAUGUCAAUUUUUUAACAAUAGUCAUAAAUAUGAAAUCUGGUUUUGAAGUGUUGACAGCUAUUUUGUUUGUUUUAAAAUACUGAGCAGGCUAAAUAAAAUAUAUCUGUGGGUCAUAUUCAGACAAUUGGUAGCCACUUUGUUAAAUUGGACCCUAGUUUGUAGAAUAAGAAGGGGGCUACAGAUAGAACUAAUACUUUAGGACAUAAAAAUACAGUAAUAAAUAUGAUUAUGAACGCCUCCAAACAUUUUAUUUCAAACAUUGGGCAAUCAUUACAAAUUCCAUUCUUUUAAGCUUAAUUCUAAUUUUAAGUCUUAGACUACUCUUCAGCAAGUUGGAAAUGAGGAGAUGUGGAAAUAGAAUAAUGCUUGUGAGUACUUUAAUUUCAGGCUGGGAAAGCCAAAAAGAAACCUGUUUUUAAACAUGACUUGAAAGGUAGCUAAAGGGAAGAAUCUACCACUCAUCUAUAAUGAUUUCAACCUGCAUUUUGUCUGAUUCCAAAAAUACAGAAAAAAAACUUAAAAUGUAUUUUAAAAUACCAUAUCCUUCCAAGUAAUACAUGAAUAUUAAAGAGUCUGGGAAGAUGAUUAGAGAGGCAGUGUAGUCUGUGAACCUCCUGAAUCUUCUCAUAAAGACAGAUAAAGCAUCUAGGAUAGACAAUAACAACAAUCCCAGAUGAUAGCUAUAACAUAACUAGGUGGAAAAGAAUCCCUACAAAUCUCAAAAUAUGAACAGAAAGGAGAAAACUCAACAUCAGCAACUGUGUAGGAGGAAAUGGUAGGAAAACAACAGAUCAUCUGAAGACCCUCAGAAUAGGAAGGCCCCAAAAAUGCCAACAAAUGAUUGCUAGAAAACGGGAAACCAGUGUGAGGUUGAUGGCAAAACUGGCAGGGAGUUCAGCAGACUCUAAGCUCAGCUAAGUGUAAAGUAAUGAGCAGGAGGGUCUGAAGUUGCUGGAGGAAUGUGAGACCUGUGAACAGUGGAACUCCAUUCUUGAACAUAGCCCAACACUAAGGAGAAAGUAGAAAUCGAAUUAAACAGAACAGAGACAACAGGGACCAAGGAAAAAGCAGAUGCAGGUAAAAGUGGGAAAAUAGAAAGGAGACAGAUCUCAGAAAAUACAAGGAUACCAAUGUGUCAUUUUAUGAAAUAUUAAAAAGGAAACUCUAGAGCCAUGAAAGUGGGAAAGCUAUUCUACCCAAUCCUCCCUCUCAAAAGUACAGAAUAACUUAGUCUAAAAGGUAUACCACAGAAAAGGAUCAUGGUUGAAUUUCAUUUAAAGUUGCUAUAAUAGAAUAGAGAAUAUGAAGCAAAAAAGGUGGAUGAAAACUAUAAUGGAAUAUUUCAAAAAGGAGAGCAAUUUUUAAAUAAUAGAAAAUAUUAAAGAAUGACAUAAACAAAAACCAAAAAUGAUUCAGAAAUGAAUAUUUGAAGAUGAGUAACAGAUCUAAGAAAAUAAAAAAUGUAAAAAGCACAUAUAUACAUUCACCAUUAUACUGAAAGUUCUAACCAGCACAAUAAGAUUUGAAAAGAAAAGGAAGGAAGAAAUAAAGCUGUUUGUAGAUGGCAUGAAUGUCUAUCUAGAAAAUCCCAAAAAAUAUACCAAAAAGACCCUCACUAAACUAAUAAGCAAUUAUAGUAAGGUCACAUAAUAAAAGGUUAACAUGCAAAAGUCAAUUGCUUUCCUAUACAGCAGCGGUGCACAAAUGGAACUUGAAAUUAAAAAGAACAACCCCUUCAAAAUGAAAUAGGUAUAAAUCUAACAAAUUUGAACAGAAUCUACAUUAAGAAGCUGCAAAACUCUGAUGAAAGAAGUCAAAGAAGGCCUAAACAAAUGGAGAGAUAUGAUUUGAAGACGAUGCUGUAAAAAUGAACGCACCUAGUGUCCAGAUCUUGGUUUCUAGUACCAUUCUUCAUUAAAGUAAACCAGGGAUUCUUGGAGAAAUGACUGAUUGUAAGAUUGGAGUAAAAAUGUACAAGAUGAGCUGGAAGCAUCUUGUGGUGCCAGAGAAUAAGGAGAUGCUAAAAACCAAAACCAAAAUCAGAACUGAAACAACACACAUACAGUGAGGUAUGUCAAAGAAACACGGGGCCAACUGAAGGAACUCCCAGUGGCUAAAGAUAGACCAAUUGUAGCAACAAAGAAGUAUUGGAUUAUAACUCAAAGGAUAAAUUAAAUAUCCAUGAGCCCUUACUGAUACAGUGAUUAAAUAAAUCAAUGGGAAAUUAAAGACAAACUUCCCAUGCAGAGGAAUUAAAAUAAUUUAUGUAGCUACUCCACCCUCAAGGAGAAGGAACAUAACUCCCCACUCCUUAAGUGUGGGAAGUACAUAGCACUUCCUCCAAAGAGUGCAGUAUGGAAAAAGAGGGUGAAAAAGAAAAGAAUUAACUUUGCAAUGGAGAAAACUAAGAACACUGAUCAAAGUCAAUGUAAAUAGAGAUAAAUCACGUGGAUAUCAUGUACCUCUGAUGUAAUAUGGUAUCAAGAAAAUGGCACUUUACCUCUAUGGUUUUCCUCCUCCAAACUUACAACCUCAGUCAAAUCAUAAGAAAAAUAUCACAAAAAUUCCAUUAGAGGAGUAUCUUACAAAAUAUCUGACCAGUUCUCCUCGGAGUUGUUACAGCCAAGAAGAGCCUAAGGAUACAUGACAACUAAA